AUGGAAACAAUUGUGCAGGGAAGUCUCAACAUUAGUGUUAGGGCUCUGCAAAAAGAUGCAGAGGAUCUAAUUGGAUUCCCUGUUAGCUACAGCAAGGCUAGGCAUGCGAAGGAAAAUAUAUUCAAGAACUUGUAUGGUACCUAUGAGGAGGCAUAUUCUUAUGCCCCUAGAAUGCUUCAUCAAAUAGCAAGUGCUAAUAGGGGGACUCAAGUUUGGCGGAGAGAACGUCCAAACCCAAUGAACCCGGGUGAGCUAAUCCUGGACCGCUUAUUCUGGGCAUUCGCCCAGACUAUACAAGCCUUCAGGCACUGUCGCCCGGUAUUAUCUGUUGAUGGUACCUUUCUCACUGAAAAGUACAAGGGCACACUAUUGGUGGCGAUUGCAGCGGAUGCAAAUAAUCAACUUCUUCCUAUUGCAUAUGCAUUGGUCGAGAGCGAGAACAAAGAUAGCUGGUUGUGGUUCCUGAGCUGCGUGAAGAUUGGUGUCGUGAAAGAGCGUAAAGGUGUUUGCAUCAUUUCUGAUUGCAACACUGAAUUAUUAAGCGCUCUUGAAAUAAUUAAGGUGUCGGAAGAAGAGUGGGGCUGGCCCGAUCUAGAGGGAAGGUGGUGCAUGAGGCAUUUGGCAGCAAACUUUUACUCCAACUUCGAAAACCAGGAUUGGUUCAAGUUAUUCAAGAGGAUGUGCAUGCAAAAAACUAAAGCCAAAAUGAAUGCGAUAUGGGCAGGUAUCAAUGGUGAGAUCGACCGCGCGGCCUUGCCGCAGAGAGAAGACCGGAGGGGUCGUAGGACGGCCAUAAAUUUGAGCCAGUGGAUCACCGAGAAUUGCCCUCAUUUGGAGAAGUGGGCACAGGCUCACGACACCGGGGCUCGGUAUGGAAUAAUGACCAGCAACAUGUCAGAGGUGUACAAUGGUGUUCUUAAAGGGGUGCGAGCACUGCCUAUCACAGCCCUAAUUGAAGAAACUUGGAACCGGACCCUGUCAUACUUUGCAGACAGGGUCACCGUCGCCAAAGCACAAGUUGAAUUGAACAAGCCAUGGUUCGAGAAGAUGCAAAGACAUCUGGACGAGAAAGCAAAGAAGUCCCAAAGUCAUGGCUGCAGGAAAGUGGACGCACUUAGGAAUAAGUGGGAGGUCAAUGUGCGAGCCAAGUACGUUAAGGGUCACCACAGAGGAUCAAAAAAGCAAGCUGUCACCCUUGGCUCAACCUCCUGUGAGUGCACUUGUAAUAAGCCCAAGCUUGAGGGCUACCCUUGCAGUCAUGUGCUCUGGGCGGCUGUUGUUCAAAAAAUCAGCUUCGAGCCAUACAUAUCGCCGUACUUUAACAUGUACAAUCUGUACAACACUUGGAACGGUGAGUUCUGGGCUUGGGGCAUUGAUAUGAACUACAAAAUGUUGUGGCCAGAUGGGCCGAAAUGGGUUCCGAACACCGACUUGAUGAGAACCGCAAAGGGACGACGUCAGUCUAGGCGUCAUCGCAAUGACAUGGACCAUAGCCAGAUGGGAGAACCAAGGCGAUGUCGCGUUUGCAGGUGUCCUGGACAUUCACGCAAAGACUGCCCGUAUCGAGCCAACAACAACGCAUAA
Molecule: ribosomal RNA, 1584 nt
Filed under: Triticum aestivum (bread wheat)
Lineage: Eukaryota; Viridiplantae; Streptophyta; Magnoliopsida; Poales; Poaceae
Description: partial small subunit ribosomal RNA
Source: RNAcentral